RNAcentral lists this long non-coding RNA (1020 nucleotides) under Malus domestica (apple). Its description in RNAcentral is "long non-coding RNA (MDOM_LNC005871)". The record is from RNAcentral. Lineage: Eukaryota; Viridiplantae; Streptophyta; Magnoliopsida; Rosales; Rosaceae.
GUGGGAGUUAAUCAUGUUCCUAAAAUUUAAAUAUAUAUGAUAUAUUAAUUUUGGAAAUGAAAAGAACACUUCUUCAUUAAGUUAUAACUUUAAAACAUUAUAUGAAGAUAGAAUGUAUAUGGGAGAUAUAGUCUAUAAACAUGGGAUGGAAAUCUAUAAUGAUAUAUUUCAUGAUAUAAUUGGAUUAUAUCAAUCCCUAAUAAUAGACAAUAGAUGAUAGGAAGUUUCUCAUAUGAUGAUAAACUUCAAUUAGAAGGACAACUCCAGUGAGACUAAGAAGUUGCUCUUCUCAAAGAGAACGUACUCUUUGACUCCCAAAGAAAUAAUGCGUAAAUAGAAUCCUUUAUGCGCAAGCAGAAAGGUUAUUUAUGUAUUUCAUAUUGUAUGAAAAACAUUGAUAUGAGUUGUACCUAGAACGGUACAAGACGAUAUCAGUGCAAGCCCAGGAUCAGAACCAUGGCAACUGUCAAGUGAGUCCUUAAGUAUUUGAGAAAUACUAAAGGAUAAAUUCCUCAAAGAUUGAGGAAGAAUUAGAGUAACGUAAUGGAAGCGUAAAUGUAUUAGAUUAUGAAUCUAAUCCAUCAUUGGAUGUUUCUUCAUUAUGAAUGAAGAGAUAAACGAAUAUCUCUUUAUUAUGACUAAAGAGAUAUUUGGAUGGAAACAUUAAAGUAAUGACUUUAGUGUCCACCUCUUGCUUUCUUUCUCCUUGUCCCUAGCUGAGGAUGAAUUGGCAAAUUGUCUUCGCAUGCUUCGAGGUAUCAUUUUCACUUCCCUUAUCUGUUCCCCAGACAGAUGUGGUAGACGAAGAGGAAGCAUAAAAUGAUGAAGAUGAGUACUCGAGAGCAAGGCUAGGUAAACAAUCAAGAAGGGGUUUCAGGCAGUCGGUUCCAGAUCGGAAGAUUGAUACCAAGUGCUGGCUGAUUGCUCUCUUUCUCCUUGUCCCAAAACAACGACAAGAAGAAGGACAGGGAGAAAGCAUGAUAUGAGAUACUCUUGCUUUCAACCUUCAUGAUAUGAAAU